GCUUGUCUCAAAGAUUAAGCCAUGCAUGUCUAAGUAUAAGUAUUAUACAGCGAAACUGCGAAUGGCUCAUUAAAACAGUUAUGGUUUAUUUGAUAAUCGAAUUUUACAUGGAUAACCGUGGUAAUUCUAGAGCUAAUACAUGCUGUUAAGCCUGACUUCUUGAAGGGCUGUAUUUAUUAGAUAACAGACCAAUAUUCCUCGUGUCUAUUGUGGUGACUCAUAGUAACUGAUCGGAUCGCACGGGCUUGCCCGCGACAAACCAUUCAAGUUUCUGCCCCAUCAGCUUUCGAUGGUAGUGUAUUGGACUACCAUGGCUUUUACGGGUAACGGAGGAUUAGGGUUCGAUUCCGGAGAGGGAGCCUGAGAAACGGCUACCACAUCUAAGGAAGGCAGC
RNAcentral lists this ribosomal RNA (394 nucleotides) under Strombidinopsis sinicum. RNAcentral's name for it is "partial small subunit ribosomal RNA". It matches the Rfam family "Eukaryotic small subunit ribosomal RNA", at positions 30 to 429 of the family's 1831-position model. The record is from RNAcentral. Lineage: Eukaryota; Ciliophora; Spirotrichea; Choreotrichida; Strombidinopsidae.